CCUACGGGAGGCUGCAGUGGGGAAUUUUGGACAAUGGGGGCAACCCUGAUCCAGCCAUUCCGCGUGAGUGAAGAAGGCCUUCGGGUUGUAAAGCUCUUUCGGCAGGAACGAAACGGCGAGCUCUAACAUAGCUCGCUAAUGACGGUACCUGAAGAAGAAGCACCGGCUAACUACGUGCCAGCAGCCGCGGUAAUACGUAGGGUGCGAGCGUUAAUCGGAAUUACUGGGCGUAAAGCGUGCGCAGGCGGUUGUGUAAGACAGGUGUGAAAUCCCUGGGCUUAACCUGGGAACUGCGCUUGUGACUGCACGGCUAGAGUAUGGCAGAGGGGGGUGGAAUUCCACGUGUAGCAGUGAAAUGCGUAGAGAUGUGGAGGAACACCGAUGGCGAAGGCAGCCCCCUGGGCCAAUACUGACGCUCAUGCACGAAAGCGUGGGGAGCAAACAGGAUUAGAUACCCCUGUAGUC
RNAcentral lists this ribosomal RNA (465 nucleotides) under uncultured Methyloversatilis sp. RNAcentral describes it as "bacterial SSU rRNA". It matches the Rfam family "Bacterial small subunit ribosomal RNA", at positions 338 to 795 of the family's 1533-position model. Lineage: Bacteria; Pseudomonadati; Pseudomonadota; Betaproteobacteria; Nitrosomonadales; Sterolibacteriaceae. The record is from RNAcentral.